CACUUGUCAUCACUGAUGGAGCCAUGAAUUCUGCUCUGAAUUCAAACUAUUCUACAGAGAAGAGUGGACCAGAAUUCCUCCAUAGUGAUGGAAAAGACCGAUCACAAGCUGGAACAAACAUUUAACUGCAGUAGUUGCUGCCAAGAGACCAACCAGUUAUCUGGGUCAGGAGGGUAAUUACUUUUUCACAGGGUGACAUAGACUUGUGGGUUAUUUCUGUCUAAUAUUCAGUAACUAUUGUUUGUAUUGUAUUAGUUUGGUGAUCUUAAACAUUUAAGUGAGAGAAAUAUGCAACAAUAGAAGAUAUGUUUGCGUUUUAUUCUGUGAUUUUAAUUUCACUGUUCUCUUCUAAAGGCAUCUCUGUUAAGCCCCUCCAGUCAUCUUGUGAAUGCUGCUAUAUAAAUGAACUUAUUUUGCCCUAUCAUGACAGAAAGAGGCGUUUACUUACGACUGUAGCAAAAAAAUGGAUGUUUUUCCACGCAGCUCCUGUCCGUCAUCCCCAGAUUGUUCACAUCCAGCACCCCACAGUUUCCAGCUGGGGUCGGAUGGAGGGGUUUCCAGGGAACGAACGAGGCCUCGCUGCCGUCCGACCACCUCCAGGUCGCCCUCGUCAUCCCGAUCCAAACCCGCUGUCGGUUCACCAUCUUCUGCAGGUGCUCGUUCUCUGCCCGGUUCCUCACUCUGGCCAGGUCUGAGUGCAGAUUCCUGCAGUGAAGCUGAGCCGAGGCCCAGUCCAUGGAGCUGCUGACCAGGACGAACCUCUGAGAAAGAUCAGCUUCAAACCCUGAAAAGUGCGUUCUCACCGUUGUAGCAGAAGAAGCUCAGACUGGAGCUGCAGUCUGUAGCCGACCAUCCUCCAGACUCCGAUAAGCUCCCACAGAGAUGGCUGCCGGGUUCUUCAGCGGCCCAGUUCCAGUAGGCCGGUUCUCCUUCCUUGUAGUCAUCUGCUUCGGACCGUGACCAGCCCCAAACUCUGUGCAAACCCAAGAACACGUCUGAAAAUCCGUCUCCCACCAGAGCGGCCAGCUCGGCCAGCUCCUGCUCGUCGUUAACGCUGACCAGAUCUUGGUGUUCAUCUCGGCAGUAUUUCUGGGCUUCAGACCAGGCUGUUGGUGUGUCAACGAAGUGGAACCGAGGAGGAGAAAGCGAAGAGGAGAAACGACACAGACCUGCAGGUCGUGUUAGAGGAAAAUAUCAAUUUUGCUUUCAUAUUCUUCACCGGACUCCUCAGUUAUGGAUCUUAAAAUCAUUAAAGAAUGUUACCUGAGAGUACAAAGAUGCCAAAUAUUCUCCUGUCCAUGGUGUGUGGUUUCAGCAAAUUAAAAAGUUUUCACUCCUGUCAUGUAAACCAUCAUUAGUAUCACUGUUAUGUGAUUGAUGAGGAUGAUAAUAAAACCCAGCCCUGAUCCGGGAAGUUUUCAGGUGAGAAUCUGGG
This is a long non-coding RNA of Acanthochromis polyacanthus (spiny chromis), 1435 nucleotides long. RefSeq lists it as uncharacterized. The record is from RefSeq and is a predicted model, not a curated record. Lineage: Eukaryota; Metazoa; Chordata; Actinopteri; Pomacentridae. The transcript has 2 exons.